This 72-nucleotide transfer RNA is filed under the name Camelus bactrianus (Bactrian camel). It matches the Rfam family "tRNA". Rfam says of the family: Transfer RNA (tRNA) molecules are approximately 80 nucleotides in length. Their secondary structure includes four short double-helical elements and three loops (D, anti-codon, and T loops). RNAcentral also lists the same sequence under 1 other name. The record is from Rfam by way of RNAcentral. Lineage: Eukaryota; Metazoa; Chordata; Mammalia; Artiodactyla; Camelidae.
GAGGGUAUAGCUCAGGGGUAGAGCGCAUGCUUAGCAUGCCUCCGGUUCUGGGUUCAAUCCCCAGUGCCUUCA